GCCCUAGCCUACUGGUUAGCGCUUCGGACUUGUAACCAGAGGGUUGCCGGUUCGAACCCCGACCAGGCA
Molecule: transfer RNA, 69 nt
Filed under: Alosa alosa (allis shad)
Lineage: Eukaryota; Metazoa; Chordata; Actinopteri; Clupeiformes; Clupeidae
Description: tRNA-OTHER
Source: RNAcentral